GAAAUGCGAUAAGUAGUGUGAAUUGCAGAAUUCAGUGAAUCAUCGAAUCUUUGAACGCACAUUGCGCCCCUUGGUAUUCCAUGGGGCAUGCCUGUUCGAGCGUCAUUUGUACCCUCAAGCUCUGCUUGGUGUUGGGUGUUUGUCCCCGUCUCCGCGCGUGGACUCGCCCCAAAGUGAUUGGCAGCCGGCGUACUGGUCCCGGAGCGCAGCACAUGUCGCGCAAACGAGUGCCUUGGUACGGCGGCGUCCAUAAGCCCCUCUCUCACGCUCUUGACCUCGGACCAGGUAGGGAUACCCGCUGAACUUACGC
This 310-nucleotide unclassified non-coding RNA is filed under the name plant metagenome. Its description in RNAcentral is "partial contains 5.8S ribosomal RNA, internal transcribed spacer 2, and large subunit ribosomal RNA". The stretch from base 1 to 105 matches the Rfam family "5.8S ribosomal RNA", at positions 50 to 154 of the family's 154-position model. The record is from RNAcentral.